GUCUACGGCCAUACCACUCUGAACACGCCCGAUCUCGUGUGAUCUUGGAAGCUAAGCAGGGUCGGGCCUGGUCAGUACUGGAUGGGAGACAGAUUGAUCCAUACU
Molecule: ribosomal RNA, 105 nt
Organism: Erinaceus europaeus (western European hedgehog)
Lineage: Eukaryota; Metazoa; Chordata; Mammalia; Eulipotyphla; Erinaceidae
Source: Ensembl